UACGUAGGGUGCAAGCGUUGUCCGGAAUUAUUGGGCGUAAAGAGCUCGUAGGCGGUCUGUCGCGUCUGCUGUGAAAACUCGGGGCUUAACCCCGGGCCUGCAGUGGGUACGGGCAGACUAGAGUGCGGUAGGGGAGACUGGAAUUCCGUGGUGUAGCGGUGAAAUGCGCAGAUAUCAGGAGGAACACCAGUGGCGAAGGCGGCUUCUGGGACGGUAACUGACGCUGGAGACGACGAAGCGUGGGGAGC
Molecule: ribosomal RNA, 248 nt
Filed under: uncultured bacterium
Lineage: Bacteria
Description: partial 16S ribosomal RNA
Rfam family: Bacterial small subunit ribosomal RNA
Source: RNAcentral